AUGUCUAAACUCUAAUUAGUGUGGAAAUAAAUGCCAAAACUAAAGGAACCAAAGGAAGAAAAAAAAUCAUGUACAUAUGGGGGAUGACUAAACUAAAUAAAUAAAUAUAUGAUUGCAUAUUUAGCUUUCUGUUGUUAAAAUAUUUCUUCUUGAGGCAAGAAAUGCUGAUCUAUUUGCCCUCCAAUGUAUUUUGAUCAGAGUGGUGACUGGGAAAUAAAGUGAUCAAUGUAUAAGAAAAAAAAAAGCAUGUAAAACUGUGGAACAGGCACAGAAAUAUAUAUUUUCUAUAUUUAAAAUGUAUAUUUAUACUUCAUUUUGGUCACUUUAGCGGUUUUACUUGUGCUUUCCUUUGGCGUAAUUCCACAUGCAGUCACUAGAGGGCGCGGGUGGAGUACAGUUCGCUUCAUUCUGAAAUGCUAACGGAAGCGCUACGUGUUUUCACCUGUUCUGGAACCCAAAGCGGGGAAAGGAAAACACUACACAGCUCGAACAGGAAGUUAGCAGCCAAAGCGACAGCACCUGUUGUUUGUGAGCAAAAGUUAAUCUGAUGAGCAGCAGAGGGGAGGAAGAGGAGGAGGAAGAGGGGCUGCUUCUGCUUCAUGCAAACCGGCGAGGCAUCCCCCGUGGCAACACGCAGCCCUGUCAUCUCCUGCCUCGUGCCUGGAUCACUGAAUGAGGGGCGACACACUCAUUAAGCCCUUUUUUCCCCUCUUCAUCACCCUCCUCUUCCUCUCUGCUGCCAUCAACUCGUCCUCCUUACUCCGUCAUCUCCUCGCUCGCGGCUCUGCUCAGGAAAACCCCAGGAGGCCGAGUGGAGAGGCGUGCAGAAGGUGACGGGAGAAAAAUCAGAUGGCGGUUUGUUAAAUAUUAAUCUGAUGAAGAUGCUGAAGAGCAGAUGUUGAUUCAGAAGACGGAAAGCAGCUAAGAGAGGUGGAGUUAAAAAUCCACUCCAGUGAGACCAAACAUGACCACAGGACAGGCAAAGAGAAACCAGAUCAGUGUGUUUCAAAGCUGCAAAAAAUUGAAUCCCAUCAUUUUUUUAUUAAAAAAAAGAUUCAGUGAGGAAAAGAAUAAACAAGAAUAUUAAAAGUA
This is a long non-coding RNA of Xiphophorus couchianus (Monterrey platyfish), 1092 nucleotides long. RefSeq lists it as uncharacterized. The transcript has 4 exons. Lineage: Eukaryota; Metazoa; Chordata; Actinopteri; Cyprinodontiformes; Poeciliidae. The record is from RefSeq and is a predicted model, not a curated record.